RNAcentral lists this long non-coding RNA (294 nucleotides) under Lathyrus oleraceus (garden pea). RNAcentral describes it as "Pisum sativum (pea) long non-coding RNA (PSAT_LNC038481)". Lineage: Eukaryota; Viridiplantae; Streptophyta; Magnoliopsida; Fabales; Fabaceae. The record is from RNAcentral.
UUGUCUUUUGGACCCUGAGCUAUGGUGCCAUGAACUUUUUGAAUCAUUUCCAUCUUGAUGUUAUACAAGACAUCUUUGUUCAAGAGUUUAUCCACUUUAUCUAGAGGAAUCAACACUCAUAUUUGUAAUACCCCAAAAUUUACCCUUCAUUUUUCUUGGAAGCAUGGGAUGGUUUCACAUUGCAUUAGCAUCAUACUAGGUCAUACUCAUUGCAUACUGCAUCAGUGACUUGGGAAAUCAGGGUUUGAUUGACCACUCCUUAACUAGAGUGAGCCCACACAAAGCAAGACUGAG